CUGCAAUUCUACACAGAGACGGAGCUUCAAUCAGACACUAGCUUUGGCUCUUCAGUUUUAUGGCCUCUCAUCUCACGCUUCGUGUCUUUGAAAAUGAAAUUUAUGAGCAGAGCUGUGAACUUUGCCACAUCACUAAUUUUAUGGCUGCCCUUGUCGAACUGUUUCCUGCUGUUCAUUAGCUACAUACUGAAAGGUAUCAAAUUUCAGAGUAUGCUGAAAAAGCAAAUCAAUGUCCAGGAAAAAGAGACUGCAUUUAUUUAAACUACCUCCUGCAAAUUAUACUUUUUUAAAAAAAGAUAUUGAUCUGUAUUAAAUAAAAAAGUGCAUGCAUAUAAAAUAAAAAGAGAGCUGUGGAUA
Long non-coding RNA from Hemicordylus capensis (graceful crag lizard), 357 nucleotides. RefSeq lists it as uncharacterized. The transcript is spliced from 2 exons. The record is from RefSeq and is a predicted model, not a curated record. NCBI's taxonomy places the organism in Eukaryota, Metazoa, Chordata, Lepidosauria, Squamata, Cordylidae.